This 261-nucleotide ribosomal RNA is filed under the name uncultured prokaryote. Its description in RNAcentral is "partial 16S ribosomal RNA". It matches the Rfam family "Bacterial small subunit ribosomal RNA", at positions 524 to 784 of the family's 1533-position model. The record is from RNAcentral.
UACGUAGCUGGCAAGCGUUGUCCGGAUUUACUGGGUGUAAAGGGCGUGUAGGCGGGUUUGCAAGUCGGGUGUGAAAGAUCCAGGCUUAACUUGGAGAGGUCAUCCGAAACUGCAGAUCUUGAGUGCUGGAGAGGAUAGUGGAAUUCCUGGUGUAGCGGUAAAAUGCGUAGAUAUCAGGAGGAACACCGGUGGCGAAGGCGGGUCUCUGGGCAGUAACUGACGCUGAGGAGCGAAAGCAUGGGGAGCGAACAGGAUUAGAUA